Molecule: long non-coding RNA, 1620 nt
Organism: Brassica oleracea var. oleracea
Lineage: Eukaryota; Viridiplantae; Streptophyta; Magnoliopsida; Brassicales; Brassicaceae
Exons: 4
Source: RefSeq, a predicted model, not a curated record
UUUAUAAGAUCCGAAACACAAAUCUGGAAUCACUGUUCGACUUCUCCUCCUCUCCCACUUUUUAUAUCAUCAUCUAAAUCAGCUCUAACCUAAAGCCACUGUGGCAUCUAGAAAUUCCAAAUCAAACAUCCUCAUCUCUGCACGAGUCACAACUAUAGCCGCCUCACUAUGGUUUCAACUGAAGAGAGUCUUUUGGAAUGACCUCUAUGGAUCUUGGUAAAAAUUAAUUCCUCCGAUGAUGUUUACGGUCAGGAUUUUCUAUGAUUCAUGCGUCUGAUGCAUUUUUAGUGUGGGUUUUGAGUCAAAACUUUUGACCCAACCUAAAUAGGCUUAUUAUCAUGUUUUUGUGAUAUGUUAUCUGUUUGUAUCAUAAUUAUUUGAAAAUUGAAUUUACUGCACUAUGAUUGCUUGAGGAAAGGUAGAGCUCUCAACCCAUUACUAUUCCGUUUUCAAUUUUUUAUUUUCUAGGAACAAAAUCAUUUCUAAUUUUCAUUUGACUAAACCAUUGAGGAUCAGCAGAAGAAGGACGGGUCGAGAACGAAGUUGAAAAUGAACGUGAAGCUUAAUCAUCAAGUUAACUAAGAAGAAUGAUGUUAAUAAGCUUCAGAUCAAGGUCUAUGAGAAGACAUGUCAAAUCGUUCCAUGCUCUCUUCAAGACCUUUGGUUGUGGGUCUGUGGCUUCGUAUCAUGUGUUCAUCUGUAGAAAGUUCACGAAACAUGUUCUUCCACAAUCCAAUCGACAAACCAAAGCCUCUGCCAAGACCUCAUAAUAUCAAAAUAUCUACAGGAAGCAGUCCAUGAUGAUCCAGGGAUCAAUUAGCGUCCACUGGUUGAACACUUUCUAACGCCCCUCAGAUAGGGAGGUAUUUAUGAGCUGAGUUCAUUUGAUGUGACAAAGAGCAAUCAGUAUUUCAAGCUGACUACUGCACCCGUAUCAGUUAGGUUCACUUAGCACACUACCUUGAUAGAGAUCACAGAAACCAUUAACCCUAUACCGGCAGAGGUCUUCCUGUUCCGGAGCUUUGAUCAAGUGUUGUUACUGGCUAACACAAACAUCCUCUUACCAGGUCUUUUUCUCAACUUUGCCUCCAUAGUAUAUGGAUUACGAUUGUUUUGUUUGAGAUUGGAAAUGUUAUAACUCCUUACUCUUUGAUAUAAGAUAUUGGUGGGGAAGUUAUGGGCAUCAAAACCACCCACAACGGUCAGUUCACAACUAACAACUUGCAUGUUCAUCCUCCUUACAUGGUGACAUAUAUUCAAUGAUCCCAGCGCUGAUAUGCCGGGGAGCUGCAUCUGUAAUACCAAAUCCCUCGCAUGGUGUGUACAUCGGUGUUUCUAUGACCAGCAGAAGGCUUGAUAGUCAUGGGAUGGUUGAAGAAAACAGAAGCGAGACAGCUCUACCAGGUGCUCGAGCUAUUGUUCCCGAAAUGACUGCAGAGUGCGGAGAAGCCAACAGUUCUGGAACAUGGGCUCUUUGUAAAGAAGGCAUGCAUUGAGUAAAAUCUUAAGUAAGGGAGUCUAUGACCCUCCUGUCGACUCCUACAAACUACGCUGGAGCUUUUUUAAAUUUCGCAUAUUAAUGAAAUAUGGCUUAAGAAUCAUUCCCACCGUCAUGUUAUA